Esox lucius (northern pike) is the source of this 2988-nucleotide long non-coding RNA. The record is from Ensembl. NCBI's taxonomy places the organism in Eukaryota, Metazoa, Chordata, Actinopteri, Esociformes, Esocidae.
CAUAAACAUAAAGUGGUAAAAACUACAAACAAGGGGGAGAGGGUGAAAAAAAAACAUGAUUACCUGGAAAACAAUUGAUGAUGAUUUGAUUGUAUUGCUUCAAUUGUGUUUUAAAUGCACAGAGUCUCUUGUGCAAAUACAGUGAACACCGGUCUGAGGUGGUGUAAAAAGGUAGCAAACAACUUCCCAUGAAGCCUAAAUUAUACAAUAUAUUUUAUACCAUACGUAUGCAUUUGUAUGGAAUGCUAAUAUAACUAACGUGUUCGUUUAAACUUAACCUGUACAAACACAACUUUGAUUGCAUGUGUCAUUACUUGUUAAUCAUCUCAUAGUCUUGAAGUAUCAGUCAUGGAUAUGAUAUUGUUGAUGAUAAUGAUUUGGUCUAGGCUUAAAAAAUCAACAUCCAUCAGAAUUCUUUCCAUUUUAAUUUUUUCAGAAUAACAUGAGUCAAUACAAGAUUUAUUAGAAUUUUAAAUACUAUAUACCAACAAUCCACCAGUAACAUCCAAUAUCAUAACAGACAGCUUCUGCAUACUAUACAACUUUCCAACUAGUAGUGCAAUUCCAUGCCUCCCAGUAAUUCACCACCUGGUUUCACCAAGGGUAAACAGAUGGUAGUUAUCAGACUUUUGUUAGUCCUUAAAGAAAGAUAUGUUGUCCACAAGAAGCUAAUUCUUUGACUGAAAAUGAGCUAGCCUUGGUUUGAGGCUCAUUAUCACCUGAAUAGAGAAGUCAGAAUAUAAAUAUAGGUGUAGAUGUAGUUGUACAUGGUCAGAUUAUAUUACUGUACACCAGGGCCUUUCCACUCAGGUCCUGAAAGGUCAAAAUGCUUUUGUUUUGUCCCUCCAGGACCACAGAAACAAAUGUGUCACUCAUUACCCAGAAAAAAACUCCUUGGGACAACUUUAAUAUCCAUACCACUAGACUAAGAACAAAUUAACAACCACGUGUAAUUAUUUAAGUUGAGGUAAGAUGCCAGCAAACCGGUAUAUCCAUUGUAUAAUCACAGCUUAUUCUUACUUCUUAGCUUACAACUUUUUGGUUGGUUUGGGAAAGAUUUCACUAUAAUAGAGUAAUACCUCCAACUUGACUGUGAUGUGAUUGGUAACAGACAUUGGGAUUAUCUGGGAAGAGGAUCAAGUCAAAAAGCAUACUCAAACCCCCUGGGAAGGGAACCCCCAUGAGGAAAAAUAACUAACAUAAGGCAGCAGUGAUCAAAUUACAGUGUUGAACAACAAAAUCCUGUUUGACACGGUUUUGCAGGCUGACAUUAUGUAGAGGUGAAGGAUGGGACACUUGUGAGAACCUAAUAAACUCUGGCUUUCAUGUGUGUUAAAUUCCUUCAAUCACAAUAAAUUGCAUAAGAAACCUGAUAUAAAGUAGAAACUGUUCAGCAGCAGGUAAAAAAAGCAAGUUCAUUUACAGUAGUGACAUAUCUUACAUCAUUAUAUUUUCACAAUAAAUAAAAUUAAAUAUACAAUUCCAAAUAGGAAAUGUAGGGAAAUUGUCGCUGGUUUCUCACAUUCAUUCUUCCUACAAAAAACAACAACCUUUCGGGGGUGGGCAAAAAGUGUCUGGUCGACCAUAUCCCUUAAUUUGGCAAAAGAAGGGGUGCAAAAGCCUUUAGAUAAACUGACUAUUUUCCUUCUGAAUCCAUUUCUGUUAGCUGGAUGGAAGAGGGUACAAAUAUUCAAUGUUUAUUAUCACAGUCAACGAUGAAACAAAACAAAACUAUCAAACUGAACAUUACAAAAUAAGGUCAGAUCAAGGACAGUAAAAUCCCUUUGAUUUUCUUUGGGAGAUUUUCUUCACAUUUUCUUGCAUUAAAAAGUGGGAUUGAAAUAGAUAGUAUUUUUUGUAUUAAUCAAUCACUUUUGUUUAGUCAAGCCUCAGAUACAAACAUGGCCCACAAAUCAAAUAGUAAGUUAAAAGGAUUCACUCGGUAUGAAAUAGAUAUUUGUAUUAUUUUAAAAUGAUUAACCCCUUGUCCCCCAAACACAAUUUUUCUGAGGUCCCAAAGUUCAGGAAGCUUUUUUUGAAAGCCUCAAAGGCAGUUAUUAGUAGAUGGUAGGUUUGGGCAGUGGAAAAACAUUACUGUUAAAACUUUUGACAUGGUUUUAGACUGAACCUCAAAAAUAUUUAUGUAUUAAUGGUUUAUUUUUAUGCACUGGAGCACUUCGGAUUUGAAAUGAUUUAAUGGCUAUGUGGUUAAAGUGCAUUCCUGUCCUAUCCAACUCUAAGCCCAGCCAACACCAUGUGGACAUCGAUAGGCGUUGCAAAUGAAGUUACUGAAGCCAUUAAGAGACUGAGAACCCUAACAACAAGUUAGGGACAUUAUUAAAAAGAAUGAAAGCACAGGUAAACCAGGCAAGACCUCUACAGUCAAUGACCUGAGAAUCCUUAAGGUAGUAAUAAACAAAAAUAAAAACUGUCCUGCAUAUCUAGAUCAUGCUCCAGGAGUUAGCCUUGGAUGUAUCAGCCAUUACCAUACGCUAAGGACUUCACCAGCAGAACUACAGUGCAAGGUGCAAACCACUUGUUAUUCUGAAUUAACAAAAGGAUGGCUAAAUUAAGUACCUAAAAGAGCCUGCAGAGUUGUGGAAAAAGGCAAUGUGGACAGAUGAGACAAUGAUUAACCUAUACCUGGUGAUAGAAAGUAGGGAGAGAAAUAUUGACAAAGACCUAAGGCAUACCACGUGAUCAGUGACAUAUAAUGUAGUGGGUGUUAUGAUGGAGUGGGUGUUAUUGCUUGGUUAUGUCCAUGAGUGGCUGCCACUGGAACAGAAUAUACCCAGCUCAUGGUGAGGUCAAUAGGUCACAGACUUCCAGCAGUGAUUGCAUUGAAAGGACAUAAAACGAAAUACUAGAUGCAAGUGCUUGGUUUGACUUCAAUGCUUGUUUGACUGCAAAUUAAAUCUCUCAAAAUUAUCAAGCCACAACAAGGUGAGGAAAGUAUUGAUUUCAGUGUACAAAAAAUGCUGUAAAGGG